Molecule: long non-coding RNA, 1590 nt
Organism: Chloebia gouldiae (Gouldian finch)
Lineage: Eukaryota; Metazoa; Chordata; Aves; Passeriformes; Passeridae
Source: Ensembl
UCCAAAACUUGCUGAAAGCACGAGGAAUCUUUUCUUUGGCCUUUAUAGCUCUGUUUAAAUGCAGAUUUUUACUGUAUUUCAAUAUUAGACUUGAAAUGAAAUGGCAGUCUGUGAGCACUCUCAUGGCACUGUUGGCAGCUAGCCUUCGAAAAAAAACUUCAAAACCUUCCAAUGCUGGCCAGAAGCACAAUAGCAAUUUUUAUUUUGUUGGUGGUUGAUACAGUGCUAAUAUCCUUAGCAGUUGUGACUGAGAGGUGCUUUGAAUGUUGCAUGGCUUUAGUUAACUUCUAUCACUCUUAUCUAUUUAUUUGAUAUGUGACCCAAGGAUAUUUGGGGUACAUGUCACAGGAGCAAGUAAAGAAGCACAUUAGGUGGAUCCUGACCUCAUGGAAACUAAUGGUAGGAUUUUCUUUCAUUUUCAAUGAGGUCAAGGCUGUGCUUGAGCUUCUCCUUGGAGCUUAUGGCUCUCAGGGUCCUUGGGGCACUACUGAACCUUACUGGGGCACUAUUGACCCUGACCAGCUCCUCCCCUCUCUCUGGGAGACCAGUUUCAGCUCAGAGCUUGGCACCCAGUCCUGGCCUGAACUAUGCAGGUUUAUCUCUGACCUUGCCUUCUGGCUGGACCCCAGUCCUGUCUCCAGUCCUACCUCUUGCCCUCAUUUGACCUUGGAAGUGCCUGGUCACUUUGUCUGGUCAGAGGCUGCUGGAUUCUUAUUGUACUGCCUGCUUAAGCACGUCCUGACAGUUCAUACCUGACUGGCAGGAGAAACCAAAUGAAGAGCUAAGCUGGCAAAGCUGCUCCGUAAAGUUCUUUCCUCCGCAGCGAGCGCGCUGUGUUCCCAGACUCCUCACACCUCGCAGCCAUUGGGAAAUGCAGCCCUUGUGGCAGAGGGCGGUGGAAGGUGCGUGUGAGGCGCGGAUGUGUGCGAGCGCUCCGGGCCGCUCGCCUUCCCCGCCGGGCGCCCGCCUCGGGGGCUCUGCGCUGCCGCGGCCGGAGCAGAGGCGGGACCCUGCUCUCGCUCAGCCCCUCCGUGGCUCCUGUCCCCACCGCGCCGUUGAAUAACAUUGCAGCUGAACUCUCCGGAGCCCUCUCCUCUCUGUUAGCCGCGAGAUUCCUGUGCCUGAUGCAGAAGCGCAUCCUUUCAUCUCCAGGUGUUCCUUGCUUGGGCAAACUGAGUCCUUUCAACAGCCUUUCCCAUCUCAGCUCUGCUGGAGAGGUUCAUAAAGACUGACACUUCUCAAAAUCUCUGGACCUCAUGAAAAGUGUCCCCCCACCCCAAGCCUUUUGCCUCUGUUGUGCACGUCCUUGGAGGUGGGUAACCCCAAGGGGUCUGCACAGCAGAAAGCAGGGUGUGUUCCCCUGCGCAGCCCUGGGGGUGCUGUCACUGAGCUCUCCUGUGCUUCCCUGCCUGCCUUUACACCUGCUCAGUUUGCUGUGAAAUCUCUGCAGAGUAAACAAGAAACUGUCUCAGCUUUUGUCAUCCUGUGAGUGAUUGGGGUAUAGCCUCUAGUGUGGAAGGCAGAAUGAGACUUCCAGCAAUGCGAGACCAGGAAACAGAAUGGAGACACAGCAGGAUAUGAGGGUUUGGC